This is a long non-coding RNA of Ananas comosus (pineapple), 1382 nucleotides long. RefSeq lists it as uncharacterized. The transcript has 5 exons. The record is from RefSeq and is a predicted model, not a curated record. Lineage: Eukaryota; Viridiplantae; Streptophyta; Magnoliopsida; Poales; Bromeliaceae.
UCACCCUGGUAGCAAAUAAACAGAACAUCCACCCUUCCAGUUGUCUCAUCAUCUGAGUGCCUUGACGAAUUUCAAACUAGUUAUGCUUGGGGUUGUAAUCUGGUAAUCUUUAUUGAGGCUUUGGUUCCAAUUUUAGUUGUGCCCCCACUGUGUUAUCUUGUGACUUUAUUCUGCGUGUGGGUUCAUGAUAUUUAUUCUGAAUUUGCUUCACUAGAUGCUUGAUGGGUUCCGAUAUUGACCGGGACAAAAAGAACAUACCAUACUUUUUUUUUUCAAAACAACUUUUCAAUAAAUCAGAACAACUUUUUUUUUUUUUUCAAAAAAGAACAUACCAUACUUUUCAAUAAAUUUAAGUUUAGUAUAGUAGUUUAGUAUAGUAUUUUUUUUUUAUUAAAGUUUAGUAUAGUAUUUCGCAUGCAUAAAAUAGACAAAGUCGGUAAGAGUCUUUAACUUAAUUUAUCUACAGAUUUUUCCACUGAUAUUCUGAUUUGCCUUUUGCUAUUGACAUCUCCUUUUCACCUGUGUUAAUUGACACAGAUGAAUUCUGUAACUUGUCGAAUUUUGUUAAUUGACACUAUAUUCUAUAACUUGUAGGUUGAAACUGUUAAGCUCAAACUGAAACUUGUUGCUUGUAGGCUAAAACUUGCUGCUUGGAAAUUAUUGGAACUGAGCAAAAAUAUCAUCUGCUGCUGCUGAAUUUUGCUUUGUAUGAACAGAAGCACAAGAAUUCUUUAGAUGCUUCAGGUCAUGAUAGUGAUGGUGGAGGCGGUGAAUGUGAUGGUAGUAGAGACCAAAGCGACGGUGGAGGUGGCGGCUGCGGCUACGAAAGAAAGCAUGGGCAAUGACAGUGGAGAUCGAGGUGGCGGCAAAAGUAAAAGCAAAUCUCACCCUCUUAGAGACCAAUGCCAAAUCACUCUCUCUCUGUCAUCACUCCCUUGCCUCCCUCCAGAGCUCUUGAUCGACACAGAAGUCGGCGCCGAUCGUGAUCGCAAAAUGGUGACGUUGGAGGUCUGAGUCGGGAUGAGGCGUGAGGCACGCACGUAAUGAGAGUAGAGUUCUCGGCUUGAUUAUCAUCAGUUCUAGACCCAUCGCUCUUUUGCUUUGAAUAAUGAAUUAGACUAUCGCGGUUCAGUUUAUCCUUAAUUAACUUGGUUAUUAUUUCAUUCAUAUUAUGGCUUUGAAAAUUAAAUAAAAGUAUUUGUGGUUUUCAUGUGGAUUUAUGGAAAUGGUUUUCUAACUCUCGUGGUAGUCUGUUUUUUAAAGAAAAAGUUUUCGUGUGGAAAACGGUUUAAAAAAAAAAAAUUUGCUUUUCGUGAUUCUAAUAUUUCAAAAUGAGUUUUCAGGUGGGAAACGUUUUUAAAUAAUAGAUGUAAAUUUAUAAA